This 939-nucleotide ribosomal RNA is filed under the name Triticum aestivum (bread wheat). RNAcentral's name for it is "partial small subunit ribosomal RNA". Lineage: Eukaryota; Viridiplantae; Streptophyta; Magnoliopsida; Poales; Poaceae. The record is from RNAcentral.
AUGGGCGACUCGUACUGCCAGGACUGCAAGAAGCACACGGAGGUGGCCUUCGACCACUCGGCGGGGGACACGGUCUGCACCGAGUGCGGCCUCGUCCUCGAGGCGCACUCCGUCGACGAGACCUCCGAGUGGCGCACCUUCGCCAACGAGUCCAACGACAACGACCCCGUCCGCGUCGGCGGGCCCUCCAACCCGCUCCUCACCGACGGCGGCCUCUCCACCGUCAUCGCCAAGCCCAACGGCGCCCACGGCGACUUCCUCUCCUCCUCCCUCGGCCGCUGGCAGAACCGCGGCUCCAACCCCGACCGCUCCCUCAUCCUCGCCUUCCGCACCAUCGCAAACAUGGCUGACAGGUUGGGUCUUGUGGCUACUAUUAAGGACCGAGCCAAUGAAAUCUAUAAGAAGGUGGAAGAUCUCAAGUCUAUCAGGGGAAGAAAUCAAGAUGCUAUAUUAGCUGCUUGUCUGUAUAUUGCUUGUAGACAAGAAGAUCGUCCUAGGACUGUAAAAGAAAUUUGCUCAGUUGCCAAUGGAGCAACAAAGAAAGAGAUUGGUCGAGCAAAAGAGUUCAUAGUGAAACAACUGGAAGUUGAGAUGGGCCAAUCUAUGGAGAUGGGAACCAUCCAUGCUGGAGAUUUCCUGAGGCGUUUCUGUUCAACUCUUGGGAUGAACAAUACUGCUGUUAAAGCAGCUCAGGAGGCAGUUCAGCGCUCAGAGGAGCUUGAUAUAAGGAGGAGUCCUAUUUCAAUUGCGGCUGCUGUCAUUUAUAUGAUAACCCAGCUUUCAGAGGACAAAAAGCCGCUUAAAGAUAUUUCCUUGGCCACUGGAGUGGCAGAAGGCACCAUCAGGAAUUCAUACAAGGACCUGUACCCGUACGCGGCGAGGCUCAUCCCGAACUCGUACGCCAAGGAGGAAGACCUGAAGAACCUGUGCACACCAUAG